UCCGCUUUACAGCGGCAGUUUGUUUCGAGUUCCCGGCUUUACCCGCUGGUAACAAAACAUGAGGGUUGCGCUCGUUGCGGGACUUAACCCAACAUUUCACAACACGAGCUGACGACAGCCAUGCACCACCUGUGUACCACCCUCGAAGGCGACCGGCUUUCACCGGCUUGCAGGUACAUGUCAAGCCCUGGUAAGGUUCUUCGCGUUGCAUCGAAUUAAGCCACAUGCUCCACCGCUUGUGCGGGCCCCCGCCAAUUCCUUUGAGUUUUAAUCUUGCGAUCGUAGUUCCCAGGCGGUUCACUUAAUGCGUUAGCUGCGGCACCGAAUCUUGCGACCCGACACCUAGUGAACAUCGUUUACGGCCAAGACUAC
This 372-nucleotide unclassified non-coding RNA is filed under the name uncultured bacterium. Its description in RNAcentral is "contains 16S-23S intergenic spacer region". The record is from RNAcentral.